This 642-nucleotide ribosomal RNA is filed under the name Americobunus ringueleti. RNAcentral's name for it is "SSU rRNA". It matches the Rfam family "Eukaryotic small subunit ribosomal RNA", at positions 1144 to 1804 of the family's 1831-position model. Lineage: Eukaryota; Metazoa; Arthropoda; Arachnida; Opiliones; Triaenonychidae. The record is from RNAcentral. RNAcentral also lists the same sequence under 1 other name.
UUAAAGGAAUUGACGGAAGGGCACCACCAGGAGUGGAGCCUGCGGCUUAAUUUGACUCAACACGGGAAAACUUACCCGGCCCGGACACCGGAAGGAUUGACAGAUUAAGAGCUCUUUCUUGAUUCGGUGGGUGGUGGUGCAUGGCCGUUCUUAGUUGGUGGAGCGAUUUGUCUGGUUAAUUCCGAUAACGAACGAGACUCUAGCCUACUUAAUAGAGAACCGAUUUCCUCUCGUCGGUUACUCUUCUUAGAGGGACAAGCGGCGUUUAGCCGCACGAGACAGAGCAAUAACAGGUCUGUGAUGCCCUUAGAUGUCCGGGGCCGCACGCGCGCUACACUGAAGGAAUCAGCGUGUGUUCACCCUGGCCGAAAGGUCUGGGUAACCCGUUGAACCUCCUUCGUGAUAGGGAUAGGGGCUUGUAACUAUUCCCCUUGAACGAGGAAUUCCCAGUAAGCGCGAGUCAUAAGCUCGCGUUGAUUACGUCCCUGCCCUUUGUACACACCGCCCGUCGCUACUACCGAUUGAAUGAUUUAGUGAGGUCUUCGGACUGGUGCUCGGAGCGGCCCUCGGGUCGCGCCGGCGUACCGGAAAGAUGACCAAACUUGAUCAUUUAGAGGAAGUAAAAGUCGUAACAAGGUUUCC